GUGCUUGCUUCAGCAGCACAUAUGCCAAAGUUGGAAUGAUACAGAGAAAAUUAGCAUGCCCCUGCACAAGAAUGACAUGCAAAUUUGUAAAGCAUUCCAUAUUUAA
Nomascus leucogenys (northern white-cheeked gibbon) is the source of this 106-nucleotide small nuclear RNA. The record is from Ensembl. NCBI's taxonomy places the organism in Eukaryota, Metazoa, Chordata, Mammalia, Primates, Hylobatidae.